Molecule: ribosomal RNA, 491 nt
Filed under: uncultured bacterium
Lineage: Bacteria
Description: bacterial SSU rRNA
Rfam family: Bacterial small subunit ribosomal RNA
Source: RNAcentral
GAUGAACGCUAGCGGCAGGCCUAACACAUGCAAGUCGAGGGGUAUAGUAGCAAUACUAGAGACCGGCGCACGGGUGCGUAACGCGUAUGCAAUCUACCUUUUACCGAGGGAUAGCCCCAGAGAAAUUUGGAUUAAUACCUCAUAGCGUUAUAGUAUGGCAUCAUAUUAUAACUAAAGUAACAACAGUAAAAGAUGAGCAUGCGUCCUAUUAGUUAGUUGGUAAGGUAACGGCUUACCAAGACGAUGAUAGGUAGGGGUCCUGAGAGGGAGAUCCCCCACACUGGUACUGAGACACGGACCAGACUCCUACGGGAGGCAGCAGUGAGGAAUAUUGGACAAUGGGCGCAAGCCUGAUCCAGCCAUGCCGCGUGCAGGAUGACGGUCCUAUGGAUUGUAAACUGCUUUUGACAGGAAGAAACACCUCUACGUGUAGAGACUUGACGGUACUGUAAGAAUAAGGAUCGGGCUAACUCCGUGCCAGCAGCCGACGG